AUUUGUUUGCUGUAUGUGUAUGUUAACAGUCACUGAUCAUUGUUUUUAAAGUGAUUUUUGUCAGUUUUUAGGCAUGAGCAAAGAAAGGACAAGGAGGUACCGGGAAAGGUUAGCGCAGGAUGAACCCAGGCAUGAGGAGAUCCUUAGGGAGAGAAGGAGAAAAUAUCAAGAAAAGAAAGCUAAAGGAGAAAUUCAACCACGAAAUAUAACCAGCCUCCCAAAACAUAAGCGAGCAAAGCUUCGUGAGGAAUGGAAGAAGACAAAGGCAAGGAACAAGAAGAAGGAGGAGGAUCUGGCAGCCAUUUUGGAUAUUACUCCCCCAUCACCCGAAGCACUUGAUGUGUCCUUUAGUCCAGUUAAUCUUUCUCCUGCUCAUGGUUCUAUUUCCCCAAAUCCAAGUCCCCCCGAAAGGGUUUGUCCACACAAGUUGACAGCAAAAAUUAAGAGGCUGGAAAGAGAAAACAAGGAGCUAAAAGCAAUGCUCGAUGGCAUGAAAAAAGCCAAUAGUAAAAUGAGGGUUCAAAAGCAUCGCUGGAAUAAAGCUAAGAAAGCACGUCAACCUACCCUCAGAUCUUCAACGAAAAGAGCUGCGACACAAAAAAAACAGCAAGUCACCAACUUUCUUUCCAGGGAUGAAAACAGCAGGCUCUUGGCAGGGAAAAGAGAUACAGUGGGCCGGAAAAACAACAAAAUUCAGCGGCGGGUUUUGACCAAAACCAUGAGUGAACUACACUCUGAAUACAACCAAGAAUCUAGCUUCACAAUGCAAAUGUCGUACCGCCAGUUUGCUCGCUACAGGCCCAAGCACAUAACAGAGACCAGGCCAACAGAUAGAAAUACCUGUGCAUGCUACCAGCAUGAAAACAUGCGCCUACUGAUUGACUCUUUGGUUUUUAAAGGCAUGAUUUCAACCAAAAGCCUGUCUAAUCUUCUUUCCUCCAUUACUUGUAACACAGAGGAACAAAAAUGUAUGUACAGGCAGUGCACCAACUGCUGUUUUGAUGAGGUGCGUCUCAACUCACACAAUCCUGAUGAAUUCGCUAGGUGGGAGCAGUGGGAGCGGGUGAAGGUGACUGUAGGGGAAAAGGUAUUCACAAACUGGGUUAAAAAAGGGGUUGAGGGAACACUGAGAAAGCUGGCAGAAACCUUCCAGCGUGACCUGGAGUCAGUUGCAUCCCAUCAAUUCAAUUGGAUGCACCAAUCAGCCAAAAUGAGGGAGUUAAAGGAGAAAUUGCAAGUAAAUGAUUUGGUGUUGCACGUUGAUUUGUCUGAAAAUUAUGGAUGCAAACUGAACACAGAAAUUCAAUCUUUCCACUUUGGUGGAAAUAGAAACCAAGUAACCAUACAUACAGUGGUUGCCUACACCAAAACGGCCAUUCAGAGCUUUGCAACCAUCUCAAAAUCUCUGAGGCAUGAUGAGCGUGCUGUAUGGGCUCACUUACAGCCAGUCAUUGAAGACCUCCAAAUGCAGCAUGACAAACAGUUGGAGUCACUCCACCUCAUCAGUGAUGGUCCUGUGACACAGUAUCGCAACAAGGCAAAUUGUUUCCUAAUGAGUAUGCUGCCAUUUACCUGGGGGUUCCAGUGUCUCACAUGGAAUUACAGUGAACGGGGCCACGGAAAAGGAGCUCCUGAUGGGGUUGGAGCUUGUGUGAAGCGGAUGGCAGAUCAGGCUGUCCAAAGGGGAGCUGAUUUGCAAACUGCAGAGGCCCUCUUUGACUUCUUGUCCAGCAAAGAUGAGAUGAAAAUCCAAAUGAAAUGGAUUGAGGAAAAGGACAUAGAAGAAUUUGACAAACUGCUCCCUCCUGUGCUCCCUGCUGUGAAAGGCAUACUAGGUACACACCAGAUUUUCUCUACAACACCAGGGGAGGUGUUUCAUAGGGCAGUAAGUUGCUUCUGCACCUACCCAAAAGUGUGUGGCUGCUUCAAGGUUACAAAAGUCACAAUGGCUGGUGACAGUCCGGCUCAAGAGAUUACCCCUAUCCCUACCCCGUCCUUCUUGGAUGAAGAUGUUGAAAGUGACCAAGACCAAGUGUUUGAAGUGGGAAAGUUCAUCAUAGUAAAAUAUGAUGAGAAGCGAUACGUGGGCCAAGUGUUGAAUAUUCAGGGAGAGGAAAUACAGGCAAACUGUAUGGUUCAACAUGGAAACAAGAAUGCUUUCCAGUGGCCUGACAAAGAAGAUACCAUUUACUACUCGCGGAGUGACAUAAUUGGUAAGAUUUCAGAGCCUGAGCCCCAUGGUCAAGUUGCGAAGUUAACGAACAUGGACUGGCUCAUGUUCAACACAUAAGUUUACCAUUUCUCCUACGAAAUAAUUACUACAUUUUUUUUUUUUAAAUAUUGGCUCUAACAGCUUGUCAUGUUUAUGGUCUGUUUAACACUCUUUUGUUAGUGACGACUCCAGAAUGUAAAUUUCUCUUGUUCACUGGAAUCUUUGUUCAAAGAGCUGAAUUGAUGAUUUUAACAUGCUUGUAAUUAUUUUAGCAUGAUUUUAAUGACUUUCUCCUGAGAAACGAUAUUUGUUUAGUCUUUUAAGUUAAAAAUAGAAAUGAAUGGUCUNACCUCAGAACGUUCAUCAGCCAAUCAGAUUCAAGCAUUCAGUGGCCCCGUAGUAUAAAUUUUAUUAAUAUGCAUUGGAGUGAUUCUGAGUAUUAAAAAAAAAAUCUAAUUGUCUCUAAACAUUCAUGUACAAAAUUAUUCAACCCCCAAAAGUCAAAUUUGGUGCAGAAUCAUUUAUUCUUUAUAACCUCAAAUAAAUACUGGCUUGUAAGAGGUCUGUCA
This is a long non-coding RNA of Cyprinus carpio (common carp), 2781 nucleotides long. The record is from Ensembl. Lineage: Eukaryota; Metazoa; Chordata; Actinopteri; Cypriniformes; Cyprinidae.